UUGGGAGAAGAGAGCAGAAGGAAGGUUAGAAGGAAGCACAAUCAGUUUUAUUGUUACUAUGAUCUGAAAGCUGGACCUCUUCCACAUCUUUCAGAAUACUGACUUCAGUUCCUGUUAACACACUUAUCUUUAGACAUCAUGGGACCCAGUCCAGUUGAAAGGUGUGCUUCUGACUUUCUAUAUUUUUCUGGACACCAUAUCUAAGCUUCAGUCUUACUUUGGAACCUUCUUCAGAGAUUGGAGCCUUUUCAUCCUGGAAUAUUCAAUCAUUUCUGUGGUUUCCUCACAGUGGAAUAUCAUCCCGUCAUGUUGGCCCCCUUCACCCUUUGAGUUCUUCCCAAAGGCCCAGUUGCACAAUUAUUAUUGGCUUGCAGCUGUUUUAGGAAGAUGGGUUGAAAGAGCACCCAACUGGAAAGUGGAAGACCUUUGGUUCUUUUCCCAGCACUGUCAUCAAGUAGCUGUGUGACCACUGGCAAAUUAUAGAAUCUUUCUGGGCCUCAGUUUUCUACAAUAAAAUGAGAGGGAGGGUCGGCAAGAUUAGCAUCUCAAUAAAAGUACAUCCAACUAUUUGGCAAGCAGAUCAAGAAUCUAUCUCUCCAAGAUAAGUAUUAACUCAUUCAGAUUUUACUCAUAGUUUCUCAUCUUACUUCUGCAGAUCAUCCUAGUUAUCCUCAGAUCCUCUGAAGGCUCAUAACUCCACUGUACAACUUAUUCCCUGUGACUUCUCACAGUUUCUAUCCUGCUUUUCCCUACCAAAAAUAUCUUCAGACCUUGACUCAACUUAAGACUACUUUUCUCAGAAUUCUCUAACUACCAAUAGUCUGUAUCCAGUAAUAACUAAUAAUCACUGACCAUAGGCUAACUUACCUGGAACAGGUCUUGCAUUAGUUUUGUGGGAUCCUGGGUACCAAAUUGAUAUCACUUCUUUAUUCAACACUGAUUCUAUAUGCUUCAUCCAAAUCCUCUAGUAGUCAUCUGAUGCUUUGUCUGAUUCCUUUGGAUCACCAU
This is a long non-coding RNA of Sarcophilus harrisii (Tasmanian devil), 1008 nucleotides long. NCBI's taxonomy places the organism in Eukaryota, Metazoa, Chordata, Mammalia, Dasyuromorphia, Dasyuridae. The record is from Ensembl.